GAGAAAUAAAAGAAGGCAGCAGGCACCGGAAAGUCAUUAAAGAGGGCCGGGGCUGAGGAGCUGCUUGCCGAGAGAGACCGCGGCAGACACUGAGAGGAGGGCCGGAGCAGCAGGGGCGAGGAGGAGGAAAUACCUCGGACACGGUGCUGUUGGCUGAAGGGGGUAUAUUGUCCCUGGGUCAUCGAGGGAGGCGAGGUUGGAGAAAAUCUACAUAACAUUACCAUCUGCUAAACUUCAAACCGCUCAAACACACGCACGCAGCGAAGAAGAAGAGUCUAUAGAAAUGUAUACGCUCUUCAGCCCCUCUCCAGCUCCUCUUCCACGUCCUCCUUCUUCUCCUCUGUGCUGAGAGAAGAGAAGAGCUCGGGUGGGGGUGGGGGGGUCGAGGCCUCUGCUUACACCAACAAGAAAGAAAACGUGACGCAUUUGAAACUAGUGCGCUAAAAUCUUUUUGUCUAUUGUUUCAAACUACAACAUUCAACGAACACAUUUGAUGGGGAAUAUCAGCAAGUUCUCUGCCACAGUUAAACUGCCAACCAACAUCCUUUCCCCUGUGCCCCUCCCCCCCUCUCCCACACCCACACCCACAGGUCCCUCUGAAGGAGCAGGCGGAGCCGGCAGUUGCACAUCUGCAUUUCAAACACAGACUCUCUGGGAUUCAUUAUUAAUUAGCCUGCUAAGCCCUGGAGGACCGGUGAUGUUGCCAUCGUUCUCGCUCUCUCUCUAACAGACACACACACAUACACACUCUCACUAACCCCCAAAUUCACACAAACACCAUGUGACCCCUUUGCCCCUCUGCUGUAGAGAGUCCUCACCAGAAUGCUGAGCCAGGAGCCCCCCCCCCUCCCUCCAGCCACAUCACUUCUCUGGCUUAAUGUGUGGUAAAGGAAGAUGAAUUACAGGAGCAGAUCGGUUUAAUAAACCCACCGCAGCGCCACUGUGUUUAAAACCCCACAUUUGAUUUAGUUGUCGAGCAGAGAAGAUGAGAGAAGCACAAGGGCCUGUACGGGUUCUCACGUAACAUUACAAAAAACUCCACUCUUCCUCCCUGCUUUUAUUCUAUUUGGGGGAAAUAGACGGCUGUGUUUGGCUGGCCUCUAAUGCGUGUGUGUGUGUACGUGUGGGAGAAUGCAGUUUCUCUGCAUUAACCUCCACCAGCGUACACACACAUGCAGAUGAGAAAUACACACAGCGAUUAUGCAUGAGGGGUGUCUCUGGGGGCUCUGCGAGAACUCCACAACACACGCCCCUUCGUCGCACAAAGUUGAAGUUUUCAAAGAUAAACAGGUGAGGAAGUAACCCGAGGACCCGAGAACGGGGGCCUCGGCCGUCGGCCCGUGCGCGCGCUGCCACGCGGGGAGCCGGUGUGUGAUGCCGGGAUCGUUCAAGAGCACCGGCCCGUGCUCCACCUCUGCCGUGGUUUGUGUCUGGAGCGCUCUCCCUGGUGCUGAAACCGGAGGAGGCCGUUCACUUUUUAAUUAGCGGCUGACUAAGGAGAUUAGAUCAGAUUAGGAUCCGUUAUACUCCCGCAACACGUAGAUACCUUCAGCUCGGAUAAUAACAUUCCCGUGGCCCCUGGAGCUAUAGGCGGGACGUAUGUGUAUUUCUCGCCGGGUUGGCGAGCUGCGGGCCACGCACGACCUCCGGCUCUGAUAAAGGAGACAUCCCCGGGCUGGACGUGAUUCCGUAAUAGAGCAGGACCCCACCACCGCAUCCUAAAUCUUAAACUGAGGCCUCGACGCGGCCCGCCGUCUCCCCCCAUGGCGGUUCCGACCGAUACGGAGUAAAACACGCGAUCGGGUCUGAUUCCGAGCCAGCGGCGGACCUCCGUCAAACACACACACACACACGCGCGCGCGCGCGCACGCACACGCGCGCACACACUUCCUGGUUUCUGAGGAUUCUGGGUAGCAGCUCGAGGAGUGGGGGGUGGUCUCGACAACACAGCGCAGCCUUUGUUGAGAGUGUAACGCAGAAUCCGGGGCAAUCGAGGAGUCUGCACAAAUGUUGUUACAAGUUUCCUGCUCCAAAAGGGAAUUCUCGUUCUCAUUUCGGAGCGUUCCCCCUCGGACCCGCUCUUUCAUUCAAAGGAAUGCGCGUAUGAUUUUUGGUUUCGUACCAAUUCCACCUGGAGUCUCGCAAGGGAAGAAUAACAAAUAUGGGAAACAUUUAAUCCAGAAUAAUAUGUUUAUCUAGAGACCUGUGGAUUUGGGGAGGAAUGGACCCCCCUCUGAUGUGGUCUGCUGCCAGUGUGUGUGUGUGCGUGGCUUGAGUGUGGGUUACUGUGUGUUUUGGUUGGACGUGUAGGAAGGGUGAGGAGACCCUUCACCCGCCCCGGGGGCCAGGAACUCUGGGUGAGGAGGAAGAGAAGCCUAACACACUCUCAGAUUUCUAAAGUGCGUUUGUGAUACAGGAUGUGACAAACGCAAGUCAGUAGUUAAAGCACAUUGCAGCAAGAGCUAGAAACAUCCCAGUGAUGGCGGUGCUUCUCCAAGAGAAAGUGUUUUUUCUGCAGGAAAGACAAUAUUGAAUCUCCCGCUGUAUAUUUGCUAGCGGGGUUCACUAAGAAAUACUCUGAGAAGCACUUGUUUGAGAAGUGAAAUAGUGGGUUUACUUUCAUAGCUUCUCUAAGUUGAGAUUUUGGAAACAUUUAUGCACACACACACACACACACACACACACACACACACACACACACACACACACACACACUAAACACACACUCAUCUUUCUUUACGUGUUGGUCAGCAUCGAAAAAACAUCACAUCACUUUGCGUAAAAGUCAUGAUGUUGCAAAGUGAUCUCCAAAACCUGUUCGUAAAAAUGUAUACGACAUAUUUGACAUAGAAAUUCGUAACAAUACAUACGAACUGGCGGUGGUUAACCACGCCCCUUGAGUGAACGUCUCUCCGCCGUGUUGGAUUUUUUGAGGGGGUUAGGGUUAGUAUUCUAUUCUUACAAUUUACCAUUGAUUUCUCGUUAAAAAUGCAAUCAUAACACGUUUAUUUUACAUCGUGAGACUUCACGAAGUGUGUUUACGGGGUGCAAGUCCCCAUUCACUUUGAAUAGGGUGACGUCAUCAGUUGCAGUCCGUAUUUAUUUAGUAUCACUACGAAUUUGUAUCUUCAAGAUUUUCAUAUACAUUUUUACGAACAGGUUUUGGAGUUCAGGCUGGAUGUUGAUUUUACUAUGUUGUGCCCGGUGAACAUAAUCUAGGUCUUGUUCCACCCACUUACUCAAUUGCUAUGUCAUCAUCCCAUAUCAUUUUGAUAAAUGAUAAAUAUUCCCUAUAUUUGCAUCACCUUAAAAAAUGUUGCAGCUUCAAUGUGGAUGUCACCGAUGCUUUGUCAAAGCCUUAUGGUUCCCAUAAUGCUCCAGCAGUACAAAACAUUUACAUUAUGGACAACUAUGUUCAAACCACUGUGGACAGUGAUGGCACAUGUUCCAUGUCUCCUUAGAACCCCGGAGGUGUGUUUACAAUGUGUCUGAUGUCUCACUGCAUGUGGAUUUUUUCCCAAGUCACACUUUUAGUGAUGUCAGAACAUUCCCUACUUUCAGAAAUCACUUUAUGGAUAAGAGCGGAUGAAAUUGAUUGUUUAGAAGAACAGCGUUUUUCCUUAAAAAACAGGAUGCUUUGCAUGCAAGUUAGCUCCCACUACACAGGAAUGAUGCAUGUAAAAAAUCCACACACCGCAAAUAGAAGUGACACUACUAUCCGUACUACUACCACCACCAGUUCAGUACGCAAGAAGUACCAAAUCCGUCUCCUUUCUCCUCUCUCCGGCUCUGAUUUCUCUCCUUCCCUUCUGAAAAAAAGGUCUCAUUGUGGCGAUGUCAGCUGUCUCAAGGGCAUCCAGAACAAAGACGCUUUUCACCCCUCUGCAUAUCCUCCUCUCAUCCUUCACUCUCUCAUUCCGACUCCCCAUAUCAUGAAAAUCCUCUGGUUUGUUUUUUUCCCUGUCCUUUUUCCUUUUCUAACUCUUUGUUUUGGCAUUCUCAUGCGGGCCGUGGCAGGUUGAAGUAAAUGAGACGAGGACGGCGACACUGCUGGAAUAUUAAAAAGAAAAGAGCCGUAGCAGAGUUCCUUAAUUUUGCAUGCAGCAUAUCAGAGAUUACUCUGCUGUUGUGUGUGUGCUAUUACGUCCUGUAUGUAUCUGGCAGAGUAUGGAGGCAGGAGGAGAGGGACGUGCAAAGGCAGCAGCAGCUGGUGGAGAUACACAAUGUGGAGAGAGAGAGAGAGAGAGAGAGAGAGAGAGAGAGAGAGAGAGAGAGAGAGGACAACAGAGGAUGCCUCCUUGGCCAACUGUGUGGAAGGGGGACAGUGGAGCAUAACAAACAGGAUCCACCUUUCUGCUUGGCUAAUUUUCCCCAUUAAAACAGCCCAGCAGGAGCCUCAGCAGUCCACCAGCUGGAACAGAGGUUAUUUUAGUGCCUGUCUUUCAACGGGGGGGUUUGGUGGGGGGUCGCUUCUUGCAUCUAUUUUGGCGUGCAGGGCUGAGGUUCGGGAGGCAUGAAGAUCUUCCAUAGGAGCGGAUUCAAUUCACUGAUAUUAAUUUCCUCCUCUCCUGUCAUGCAUAAACAAAAGGAAAUCUCGGCGUCUGUCUGCAUCAUGCGUCUUCGCCCUGCUGCGCGCCGCUAUAAUGUCCUCGCCGCUGAUAUUGAUGUAUGUGCCCAUAUUUGCUCAGUCAUCUCUUUAUGUGGCAAGCCCUCCUCUCCUCUGUCUCAGUCAGAUCCUAAACUAAUCCCCAACCCUGCUACUCUGACAAGAAAAUCCCCUAUUUUAAUGCAUGCACACACACAACCCAAUCACGCACACACACUUUUCUCUUCCUUCUUUGUACCUGGAAACAGCAGCUUUUCAGUCUUUUUACUUUUUAGCAAGGCCUGCCUUGCCCGCAAGUUACCAUUUGUUAUGAAAUCUUCACAGCGUGGUGACGUUUGUGGAAACACAUAAUGUGAUAAAAUGUUUUCUUUUUGUUCACACUAGGCAGACUUUGGCAGCACGGUGUCAUUUUGUUACCGGCUGUUAGGAAAUGUUAACCCAAGUCUGCUGCCGUCCAUUUACGGUACGGAAACAUAAUUAGAUAACAGACAUUGGUGAUUUAAAACGGGUUUGGGGGCCAUGUUGUGUUACUGAAACUGAGCAUCAAUGAUGCAAAGUGAUUUACUUACAAAGGGUUAUUUUGGCUGUACAUGUCAGUGUAUAUUGUAGUCGGAAGUUUAGAACACAUUUUGGAGGCAGAGUGCUCCGAUGAAAUGGACUGCAUGCAUUCUGGCUAACGAGGGUCUUUAAGUUAAACAAGGCUGGCUAUUGAUUAUGUUAUUGUGAUACAUUCGGUUUUCUGGUGUGCUGAAGCAGAGAGCAGCACAAGAAAACAGGUUCAAUGUUUAAAGGCAAGCUACUAACUACAAGACAGAGAGGGUUUGUAAAAUAACAGCUAUAGUACAUCAUGUCCCCCCAAAAUAAAAAAAAGAAUAAGCAUAGCCUAGAUGAAAAUGAUCCCUAUUCCCAAAUGGGUUCUUUCAGCUUCAGUCAUCAUCGCUAGUUGGUAACUUUACCUUGAUUAUUACAAACAUUUAAGAAAAACAAAUGUGUGGUCCUUCAAGUAGUACAUUGAUUUGCAAAAGAGCAAAUAUAAAUAUGAUUUCAUUUUAUCUUAACAAUACCAUAUUGAAAGAAGUCUCCUAAAUCAAAACUAACAUGGCUACUAGGCUAACUCUGCUAAGCUACAUACAUGAACACUUCAGCUAACUUUUCAUUCUGCACCGUCACUGAACUCACUACAACUGCUGCUGACACAUUCACAAAAUGAAGACGUCCCUUCUGGAAAUGUAAGCUGCGUUUCACGUCUCCUCAGUAUUUCAGGAGCAGCGCUGUUGUAAAGCACACGGGGUGGAAUUUAGGGUUGAGGGACUCACUGGAGGACACUUUCACAGGAAGAGGAGUUGAACUGCCGACGUUAAAGGACUACCUGCUCUUUCCUUAUGGUUUGAUGGUUUUCAUUUUUUUAAUUUGAAUUGAGUAGUUUGCAAUAACGAACAAAAAGGAUGUAGGUUCAUAUAAAUGCGCAUAAGUAUAGUCUCAGCUUUUGCUAAAGCUAUCUGUCACUAGCUAGUGCAGACGUACACCGGGUGCGGCCUUGGAACAGUAGGUGCUGUGUGGCCUCCAGGAGCUCCUUCUGCGAUGCUCUGCCUCGAGAACAACAACACACAAACAAGUCGGACUGGAGGUUUAUUCGAUGCCCUUGUUGGCUCGUCAGGAGGUUGUUCAGAGGCUACAAAGCAUUUGAUUUCUAAUGUUACGUAUUUGAUAGCAUAUUAACACUGAUGGUAAAACAAUACUAUUAAGCUGUAUCCCUACUGAAUACCACGCAAGAUUAUUUAUGUUUAGUCGCAGUCAAUUCAGCCACUUAGUGCGCUGGACGCAAAGAACUUGACUGUCACGCACAGAACUAUGAGCGAAGCAAGAGGGUGGAUUUCAUCUGCGUUACAUUCAGCAUGUGAAAGGAGCGCCUGAAUUUAGCAGCCAGGCAAGAUGAGGUGCGGUUGACCUUGGCAUGUGUGCGAAUGCACGCACACAAACGCAACGCUCGCACACACGUACACAAACCAUGUAGGUGGGGGCUGACAAAUGGCAGUGCAGCAGCUCAGUUAGAUGGUAAAUGUAGGUUUAAACAACGCAGAGUGACGCUUACACACGCAACACUUAGUGGCCGGUUUGGUGAAAUAAGAUUGAUUUGGUUCACUCUCUCACUCUUUGAAACGCACAGUCACACACACACACACACACAUGCACCAACACACACACACACCGAGUGGAAUAUGAGUGAUGUGAUUCAGGACACCUCUCGGCAGCCACUCUGCUUUCCAUCCGAACGCCCGAGCGGAAUACUAAUCACUGGAUCACAUUACAGAGAGAGAGAGAGAGAGAGAGAGAUGGCUGCAGCUAUAGAAGGAGAAGAUCAGCAGGGAAUAGCAAGGAUUAUAUCAGAUAAGAAAUACAAAAGGUUGGCGUCGCAAGCCGGGGUCGUUUUUUCCCCUUUUUCUUUACUGCUUUGCAGUGAGCAGCAUGCAAAUGCUGCGGGUUACGGGAUGAAAAAGUAAUGUCACGGGCAAGUGAGAGCAAAGCUUAACAUCAGGGUUUAAAACAUGCUGGACACCGCUUAAGAAGGGAGAGAAGUUUUGUCCACCUGCAUGAAAGUCAGGUAUAGUUAUUCCCAACAACUGCAGUUAAAACAAAUGUUGGAUAACUAAGCAACGGCUAUUCCAGUGCUUCAUUUUCUCCAACAUCUUAUCCUUUUAGAGCCAAAUAUUACAUCUCUUACUCCACAAAAUUAAUUAUACUGCUGGUUACUUGGUAGAUUCAUAUUUUACUUCUAAGGUGACAUUGUUAUUUCCAACAACUUGUUUAUUAAAGUUACCUGCACAUUUACCAGCUACAAUGUAUAAUUAUUAUCAUUAUUUAGACUGAAAAUGGGCAAUUCUGCUGGAAUUAUAAGCACUUGAAAAGUAUUUCUUGUGAGAAACUCAUUCAUUCAGCACUUUUACUGUGUCACAUGCAGGCUCAUUAGAACAUAAGGUCCACCCCCAUCUCAGGAUCUCCACCCACAGCAUGAAAAGUACCUUCGCAAAGGUGCACCAUGGAGCUUUUCCAGUCUGUGGCAUCACAAGGGGACACGUGGUGGAAGCAGGCUGCUACGUUCCCAAACAGGAUCGGUUGCCACACACACUACAGCCCCCAGAAUGCCUCACAGCACAACCAGCUGUAGGUGUUUAAGCCAUUUGAUUACAGCAGGGCUCAAAAGCCAAAGCACCUGGCGGGCAAAGAGAACGACGGGAGGAGAGCGCCGAGCUGGAAGGGCCAGACCGGUGCAUUGGAGCACCCAAUGAUCUUUGGAGACGGAAGCCAGGAGAAGGACUUGUGAGGAGGGAAAAGCAAACUUUAUGUUAAUGUUUUUGAAGCUGCCAAAUGACUGAAGGCCUUAUUUAUGUUUGCCUGUUUAUUU
Gasterosteus aculeatus aculeatus (three-spined stickleback) is the source of this 8009-nucleotide long non-coding RNA. NCBI's taxonomy places the organism in Eukaryota, Metazoa, Chordata, Actinopteri, Perciformes, Gasterosteidae. The record is from Ensembl.